AUGACUCUGGUCCUCAUCUGGACUCUCCUCUGCUGCUGCUUCACAGAGUCCAGAGGACAGGUCACAGUGACUCAGCCUGGAGCAGUGAGCUCUGCUCUGGGAGCCUCCGUCUCCAUCAGCUGUAGGUAUAAUUUAGCGGUGGGAACAGGAUCAAAAACUGGUAAAGAACUUUUAGCUUGGUACCAACAGAAAGAUGGAGAAACUCCUAAACUGCUAAUCCGCUACAUCAGUGAGAGGGCGUCUGGGAUUCCUGAUCGUUUUUCAGGCAAUGGAACAAAGACUGACUUCUCUCUGACCAUCAGUGGACUUCAGGCUGAAGAUGCAGCAGUUUACUACUGUCUGAGUGAUCACUGGAUCAACAGUCAGAGUGUGUUCACACAGUGA
Non-coding RNA from Centropristis striata (black sea bass), 384 nucleotides. NCBI's taxonomy places the organism in Eukaryota, Metazoa, Chordata, Actinopteri, Perciformes, Serranidae. The record is from the annotation of a RefSeq genome assembly.